GACGAACGCUGGCGGCGUGCCUAACACAUGCAAGUCGAACGAGGUAGCAAUACCUAGUGGCAGACGGGUGAGUAACACGUGGUCAACCUUCCCUAGCGUGGGGGAUAACUAGCCGAAAGGUUAGCUAAUACCGCAUAACAUCCACGAGCGGCAUCGUUUGUAGAUCAAAGGAGCAAUCCGCGCAAGGACGGGACCGCGUCCCAUUAGUUAGUUGGUGGGGUAAUGGCCUACCAAGACUCCGAUGGGUAGCUGGUUUGAGAGAGCGACCAGCCACACU
RNAcentral lists this ribosomal RNA (277 nucleotides) under uncultured bacterium. RNAcentral describes it as "partial 16S ribosomal RNA". It matches the Rfam family "Bacterial small subunit ribosomal RNA", at positions 28 to 314 of the family's 1533-position model. The record is from RNAcentral.